GCGGGUAUGGCGGAAUGGUAGACGCGCAACGUUGAGGUCGUUGUCGACGCAAGUCGGUGGAAGUUCAACUCUUCUUACCCGCACCA
RNAcentral lists this transfer RNA (86 nucleotides) under Alphaproteobacteria bacterium. RNAcentral's name for it is "tRNA-Leu". It matches the Rfam family "tRNA". From Rfam's summary of the family: Transfer RNA (tRNA) molecules are approximately 80 nucleotides in length. Lineage: Bacteria; Pseudomonadati; Pseudomonadota; Alphaproteobacteria. The record is from RNAcentral.